AAAAUAUAGCUGCAAGCAGCGAUUACCGGGGUUCAAGCACUUUAAGACCUUUGGGGUGGUCUCGGCCAACCUGGAUGUAUGGCUGACAAACUUUGACUCAAUGAGAUUUUAAAUGUUAUAACAGUCGUUUUAUAAUGUUUUCACAUGAAUCCAUGAAACAUUUGAACAGUACUGUUUAAGUUAGUUGAAUGAGCCCAUUAGUGAUCUUCCGCUGCCAUCUAGUGGUUAAAAAUGGCAAUUUCCCAUACAACACUGUGUUUUUAAAAUUUAUAACUAUUAGAGUGUUAUUUUUUGCCCAAUCCCUCUUAAAUUUUGCAUGCUUCUCUAGAAUGAAAAUAUGCAUUAUUUUACACAGUUUUGAUCAUUUGUGGGCUUUCUGUUUGUAUUAAUAGGCCUUUGGGUACACUAUGUAAAGGACAUAUUUAUUAACAGGUUUAUAGUUUUCCAAAUGAAAUUGUUAAACUUUUUUUGAUAGUUAUUGACCUACAGAGUCUAGAGAAUUGUACUUCAGUGGUUUUAUUGAUUUUCAGCUUAAACUGUUGGACUAGUUUGCAAAAGUAGCAUUUUAAAUAAUCUUGAAUAUUUAAUUAACAGUUUUAUUGACAACAUUGGUCCAAAAGUUUUUCAGAAUGAGGUGCUCUAUCAUAUGAUAUGAAUAUCUAGUGUUUGUGUGAAUAUAUGAGAGUUUUAACUAAUUUGAGGCUAUAUACCAUAUAAAUCUUGAGUUUUUGAGGCCUUUGUAACUGUUUUUACCACCACCUAUGAUCCGAUCUCUAUGAAACUUUGUAUAAUUGUUAAGAGUAAUCUGACACAUGUUGUCAUCAAGUUUUGUAAAGUUUUGAGUUUUUGUUUAGGUUUUAUAGGCUUUUGGGUAUUUUGGCCACACCCCUUUUCUAAAUUAACCUGUUAUAGCUAACCAAAGGACAAAAUUCAACAUUUUUUUGAUAAUUAUUGAUCUAGAGAGUGCAGAGAAUUGUUCUGUAGUAGUUUGAUCGAGAUUAAGUGGAAAACCUAGCACUAGUUCGCGAAAGUAUGUUUUUAACAUAUUUGUGAAUAUUUAAUGAACGAUUUGAUUGACAGCAUUAGGCCUAGAGGCAAAGUUGUUCAGACUGAGGAGUUCUAUCAUAUGAUAUGAAGAUCUUGUGUUUCUGUGAAUAUAUGAACAUGUUCUACAAUAUGAGGUCAUUUUCUGUAGAAAUCUUGUGUUUUUUGAUGCCCUCUUAACUGUUAUAGCGCCACCUAUGGUCCGAUCUCCAUGAAUCUUUGUAUGCUUGUUAAGAGUCAUCUGCUACAUGUUUCCACCAAGUUUCAUAAAGUUUUGAGUUUUCAUUUAGGUUUUAUAGGCUAUUGGGUAUAUUUGGCCACGCCCCUUUUAAAAAUGACCCAGUUAUAGCUAACCAAAGGACAAAAUUCAAUUUUUUUUUGAUAAUUAUUGAUCUAGAGAGUCCAGAGAAUAUUACUGCAGUGGUUUGGUUCCGAU
This is a long non-coding RNA of Cyprinus carpio carpio, 1480 nucleotides long. The record is from Ensembl. Lineage: Eukaryota; Metazoa; Chordata; Actinopteri; Cypriniformes; Cyprinidae.